GUGCAGCCGCCCCGCCGGCCUGGCGCUGUCCACCCCCACCCCCCACCCGGCGGGUCCCCCCCGGGACGUACCCCCACGGUCUGCACUGCUAGACCCGGGGUGAGCCCGGGUCCAGCAGGCGGCGGCCCCCUGCCCGACCCCCAGGGGUCAGGUGACACGCGGCGGGGCUCCUGCAGUUUAAACGGCGUUUCUUCAGCUCUGCUCCGGGACGGGGUGUUUCUUUUCGAGAACUAAGAAAAUGCAAACCGCCGGUGGCCGGCCUUAAAUAGUUGCAGUGAAAGUUUCGGGACAAACUGAAAAUCAGCCCCAGCCGAGAAACGAAAUUUGAAGCAAUUUUCCUGCAGGGAGAGGGUUUGGGGGGGAGGGCCAAGCCGUGGCUUGCACAGUGUCCGCUACGAAGGAUGCCCCAGGAAAAUAAAAGAGCAACUCGUCCGAAUCUAACUCGAUCGAAUCAAUAGCGCGUUGGGAUACUGGCAAAAAAAAUUAAAGAAACAUGUUUUGGAGGUCGACUUUGCCGUUCACAAAUUCUCACUCAUUCUUGGGGUUUUCCUAGCCACUUUUUCCUGUAAAGACAGAACCAGAAAAUUGUUCAGAAGAAGACCCAGGAAAUUGUUCAAGGGGACUUCCUAAUUUUCUACUGUGAUUGGCUUCAAAGUGGAGGAAAUCGCGGUGGCCUAACCCUGCAGUCACCAUUCUUGCAUGUCAGGAGCGCAUGCAGCAGAAUUGAAGGAAAUUUAACUCCGCAUUCUGCUCUCACCAGGAAAGUGUUUCAGGGGCUGGAGAGAUAAUGCAGCAGCCAGCAAACAUCUUACCUGGUAAGACCUUCCCAGACCCUGAGGAGGCUGGACCCUCCCCAUGAAGUUCCUCAAACCCUCUCAUCUCUCCCUUAAUCUCAUUAAAGUGUGAUCCAGCCCCGAGAAGACUCCAGAACUUUCUGACCAAGACAACCUGAGAAGAGCCUCUAAAGGCCACCUUGAACGAAGGAAGAGCACACACAUGCUGCCUGAGCCUGUGUGCUGCUUGCGCCCGCGUGGCCGAGCACAUGUGGUGCCCGAGCACAUGUGUCGCCCGCAUCUCCCCUCUUGAGGUGUGGCCUUUCACGCUUUCGUGUCUAGUGCUGGGAUGUGUCUAGAGGCUCUCUGCCCGGUUCUCUCUUGAGUGCUUACUCUCUCUCUCCUCAAAAAUCCUCCAAAUAAAAUCGAUUCACUUCA
Sorex araneus (European shrew) is the source of this 1211-nucleotide long non-coding RNA. RefSeq lists it as uncharacterized. The transcript has 4 exons. The record is from RefSeq and is a predicted model, not a curated record. Lineage: Eukaryota; Metazoa; Chordata; Mammalia; Eulipotyphla; Soricidae.